This is a long non-coding RNA of Camelus dromedarius (Arabian camel), 1075 nucleotides long. RefSeq lists it as uncharacterized. Lineage: Eukaryota; Metazoa; Chordata; Mammalia; Artiodactyla; Camelidae. The transcript is spliced from 3 exons. The record is from RefSeq and is a predicted model, not a curated record.
GUAAGGGACAGCAGUAAUUCCAGGACCUAGGGAAGAACACUUUAGACCCCGGGAAGUGCUUCAGGAAGGGGAGGAAUCAGUGCUCCCUUCGUCCUCUAGAUCCAGCGCUGCACCUUGGCAGAACAACUGUAUGGUCCACCUGGGUGAGGCAAGCAGCAGCUGCAGCUGAUAAUCCGACCUCCGCUGGGUUUCUCCUUGCUGUCCCUGUGUUACGGUAACAGAAAAUUCACGUGGAUAUGGAAGGCCCUGAACUAUUCUCCUUUGCCUAGCGUCUCUUCAUGAGGGUAUCAAGACAUGGACCGGCACAACUCUGUUUCAACAUUAGAGAUAUAAAUGCAUGUUACUCUUGAUGUCCAAGUGAUUGUGGGCCAUUUUAUGUGUAAAAAUCAAGGCUGCAACUACUCAGUGACACUUGCCCAUGUGAUACAGGCAAAACAAUGUCAUGGUAAUCCAAAUCAAGUCUAACCAUAAAUCUAAACUAAAGUGACCUGUGUCUCUUUGUUUCAUGUGCUUGUAUGUAAAGAAGAACAGGCCGUGGAAUAUCUCUCGGUCGGGGUGGGGAUUUCCAUUCGGCUCACCUACUGUCCCUGCAGUCACUGACACCACCACCAGAGAUUAACAGCACUAUACUCCUCUGGGCCAUUUUGCUGUCCGUGACAUAAGACCUGACUGUUCACACCAUACAGAAACCUUCCUAGGUGGAAACUUACCUACAACACUGCCUCCUAAAAUAAGACAUCCCUCUGUUUAUCCUGUGCCAGUUACUGUUUUACUCUUAAUUCUUCUCUGAAAGCAUUUACAAUCAUCUACAGGCCAAAAUGCUUUGUCUUUAUGGAGAUUCAUGGAAAAGAUCCUGACAAGCACUCUAUAAUAAAGGCAUCUGAUAACUUUAAGAUCAUACCACUUCAAACUGAGUAAGGAUGGAGAACUCUAAUGGAGAAACUAUUUAAUUCAUAAAACUGCUAACCCAAGAUCAAGCAAAACAAGAAUUAACUACAUGGGACCAAAUGAACUGAUGAAGAUAAUUAUGAUUUUUAUGACUUCGUUUGAAACACUGUUGGUUCUUUAAUGUCUG